GCCUAAUACAUGCAAGUCGAACGGUCUUUCUAAUGGAAGCUUGCUUCCACUGAGAAGAUAGUGGCGAACGGGUGAGUAACACGUGGGUAACCUGCCCAUAAGAGGGGGAUAACAUCCGGAAACGGGUGCUAAUACCGCAUAGUUUUCUUGAUCGCAUGAUUGAGAAAGGAAAGACGGCCUUUGUGCUGUCGCUUAUGGAUGGACCCGCGGCGUAUUAGUUAGUUGGUGAGGUAACGGCUCACCAAGACGAUGAUACGUAGCCGACCUGAGAGGGUGAUCGGCCACAUUGGGACUGAGACACGGCCCAAACUCCUACGGGAGGCAGCAGUAGGGAAUCUUCCGCAAUGGACGAAAGUCUGACGGAGCAACGCCGCGUGAGUGAAGAAAGGGUUUUCGGAUCGUAAAACUCUGUUGUCAGAGAAGAACAAGUUGGAGAGUAACUGCUCCAGCCUUGACGGUAUCUGACCAGAAAGCCACGGCUAACUACGUGCCAGCCGCUGC
RNAcentral lists this ribosomal RNA (501 nucleotides) under uncultured bacterium. RNAcentral describes it as "bacterial SSU rRNA". It matches the Rfam family "Bacterial small subunit ribosomal RNA", at positions 46 to 518 of the family's 1533-position model. The record is from RNAcentral.